CGGAAGUUUCUCGAAGGGGGCUCCUGGCCCCUCAGGCCCAGCGGCCUGGCAGAACGUUGUGAACGUUUAACUCACCCUUGAGGGGAGACGGUGGGGCCGGUACGCGGCGCGCUCAGUCCCGGGACCGGGAGUCGGGCCUGGUUCGAAUCCAGUUCUUACACCCUCGAGAGCCUCUGGGGAGGUUUCAUGUGGACAACGCUGCGUAGGCCGGACCACCGUGGCCCCCAGUCUGGAAGACUCGAGGGACCUCCGCACUCACUCACUGUUCUUCCACCAGCGCAGCGCUAGCCACAUUCAGGAGCUCCUGAUCCUCUGUGGCUUCUGUAUUGGACAGUGCAGAUCUGAAACAAAUUGGAUCAGUCACCCCCACCAACUUAAAAUCUUGCAGGAUCUCAGUUCCGCUACCAGGGAUUGGACCUGGGCCACAGCAGUGGAAGUGCCGAAUGCUAACCACUAGACCACCAGGGAACUCCCUAAUUGUGCUUUUUAUCUCUCAUCAUCCCUCAGUAGACUGAAAGCUGGUUGAGGACAGAGAUCUCACCUGUCUCACACUGAACUCUCAGUGUAUUGCCAGAGCUUAGCAUAGGAAGUCUUCAAUAAAUUUUUUUUAAAAGUGUAAAUCCAUAUAAAGGACUUAGCAUAGUACCUGGAAUGUGAAGAGUACUCCAUAAACACCAUAAACAUGAACUGUUAGUAGCGCGUAGUAAUUAGGAGAUAAGUCAUCAUUUUUCUUACGUAGUAUCUCAGGUGCACUCACACUCAAAAACAAGCAUAAGAAAUGCUAUGACAAAUAUGUUUUUACCCAUUACCCAGCUUAAGAAGUAAAACAUUAGCGAUGCAAUUGAAAGGUCUUAUAUACCCCUUCCUCAAACCUGUUCCUCUCCCCUUUUUUUCAGAUGUAACUACAAUCCUGGUUUUGGUGUUUAUUUUUCAGUGCAUGUUUGUAUAUCUUUAAUACGUGCCUUUAAACUAUGUAUAGUAUUGUAUGUCAUGUUCUGCAACUUUAUACAAAAGAGUCAACUAUAGCAGGCCUGAGACUGCUCUCCUUAGAAAGGCCUGUUUGCAAGGUUGGCCCUUGGCUGGUGUCUAGGAACUUGGAUUUCAGGAGGGUUCACACCAUUUCCUAAAUAAUACAAGGGGCUCAUGGUGCCUAAACUGUACAAACAAUGUGAUUUGUGUCGAACACCUGCUUUCCUUCUGGAGUCUGGAAGUUUGGUACUUGACCAGCUGCCCCCCCCCAGCCAAUACCCUGGGCACUGUAUCUCUAAGGAGGUUUCCUGGUGGACAGCAUUUCACACAUGUUGUCACAGCUCUGCUAUAGGAACUAAGCACGUCCUUUGUAACUCUGCUGGGAGAGGACUCUUGGAAGCUUGUGCCUGGUUUCCUCCAGACUUCGCUCCAUGCACCUUUUCCCUUGGCUGAUUUUGCUUUGUAUCCUUUCACUGUAAGAAAUCAUACCCUGGGGAAUUCCCUGGUGGUCCAGUGGUUAGGUCUCUGAGCUUCCACUUCAGGGGGCACAGGUUCAAUCCCUGGUCAGGGAACUAAGAUCCCACGUGCUGCAUGGUGUGGCCAAAAAAAAAAAAAACAAAAGCAAAAAACCAAACCAAACCCAAACAACAACAAAAAAGAAAUCGUACCCUGAGUAGGCUAUAUGCUAAAUCCUGUGAAUCAUCCUAGUGAGUCAGGGAUGAUCUUGGGGACCCCCAACACAGUAUCAUACCACAUAUAUCCUGACAGGGCUGGAACUAGGAUGAGGAAAGCAAGGGCACAACAUUUAAGGAGACACUCACCCUCCAAGUCACACAAGUGCCAACCUGUACCUGCAUGACUGAGCGUGAGUGCCUCCUAAAAUUUUCAUUCUAGACACCUAAGUUGCUUCACUCUGGUCCCAUCCCUACCUUCAUUAAAAAAAAUUAAGUAAUUAAUUGUGGCUGCCUUGGGUCUUUGUUGCUGCGCACAGGCUUUUUCUCUAGUUGUGGCAAGUGGGGGCUACUAUUCGUUGCGGUGUGUGGGCUUCUCACUGCGGUGGCUUCUCUUGUGGAGCACGGGCUCUAAGGUGCGCGGGCUUCAGUAGUUGUGACUUGCGGGCUCUAGAGCGCAGGCUUGGUAGUUGUGGCACACGGCCUUAGUUGCUCUGUGGCAUGUGGGAUCUUCCCGAACCAGGGCUCGAACCUGUGUCCCCUGCAUUGGCAGGCGGAUUCUUAACCACUGUGCCAUCAGGGAAGCCCCGAACAUAAUGCUUUUGAGAGGUAUAUAUGUGACACGUGUAUAGCUCUAGUCGUUUAUUUUCACUGGUGUAUGGCUGUGCUGUCUGAUGCAGUAACCAUUAGCCACAUGUGGCUAUUUAUAUUUCAGUUAAUCAAAAUUAAAUGAAAAAAAUCAAUUCCUCAGUCACUUAGCCACAUUUCAUAUGGUUAGUAGACACCUGUGGCUAGUGGCUACUGCAUUAGACAGCUUAGAUAAAGAAUACUUCUGUGAUCACAGAAAGUUUUGUUGGACAGUGUUUACUUAUCCAUCUACCUCUUGCUUGGUAUUUAGCUUGUUUCCGGUUUUCUGCUCUUACAAACAGUGCUGUAAUGUUUAUUGUUGUGCGUGACUCUUUGUGUACACGUGCAGGAGUUUCCCUAGGCUACAUACCUAGGAGUUGAAUUGCUGGGUUUGGGGGACAGUCACCUUUACUAGAUAUUGCCAGUUUGUUCUUCAAAAUGAUUGUUGCAGUUCUCACUCCCACCAGCAUUGUUGCUAUUGCUCAGUGUCCUUAUCCAUACUUGCUUUUGUCAGACUCUUACAUGUUUGUCUUUAUGAUGGGUGUGAAUUAUUGGUUUCAGUUUGCAUUACCAUGAUUAAUAGUGAGAUUGAGCUUUUUUCAUGUUUAUUUACCAUUUGCCUUUCAUGAAUUGCCUGUUCAUAUCUUUGCCCAUUUUCCUGCUGGAUUGUCUUCAUCUUACUGAGUGCAGGAGUUCUUACAUCUGCGGCAUGCCUUUUCAUUUGUAUGGUGUCUUCUCAUGUUCAGAAUUUAUUAUUAUUAUCAUCAUCAUUAUUUUAAUGUCAUCAGAAUUAUGAAUCUACUUAUAGUUUGUGUUUUUUUGUGUCUUGCUUAAGAAAUCUUACACUGUGAUCAGUAAGAUAUCCUACUGUAUUUUUUUCUGGAAGGUCUACUUGUCAUAUUUAGCUUAAAAAAAAACAAUCUGGAAUUUAUUUUUGUUUAUGAUGUGAGGUAGGUUUAAUUUUUUUCAUUUGGUUAACCACGUGUCCCAGCUCCAUUUAUUGAGUAGUCCAGUGGUUCUCAAAAUGUGAUCCCCUGGGGAUCCCCAAGAACCUUUUAAGGAAUCCAUGAGGUAAACUAUUUUCAUAAUAAGUCUAAGGCAUUAUUUGCCCUUCUCAUUUGUGCUGUGUUGUAUGUGCACUGUUGGUACAAAAACAAUGGGUAGAACUUCUGGCCCCUUAGCAGGAAACAGUGCAGUGUCACCAUAUUGUGGUAGUGGUUGUCAUUGUAUUCCUCACCACCACACACAUGCUCAAUGUUAAAACAGUUUCACUUAAGAAUGUCCUUGAAGAAGCAGUGAAAGUAGUAAUUGUGUUAAAGCUUAGCCCUACAGCAGGUCUUUCUAAUAUUCUGGGUCGUGAAAUGGGAUGCUUGCAUAGAGCACUUCUAUUGCAUGCUGGAGAAUGAUGGUAGUUGAGGUAAUGUACAGUUGUUUGAGUGGAGGUGGAACUGCUGACUUUUUUCAUGAACACAAUUUUUACUUGAAUAAUUGCUAGUUAUUAUUCAGAUUAGAAUAUAUGCCAUGUAUUUUCUCAGAAACAAAUGCAGUGAGUGGUCACUUGGAGGAAAAUUAACAGUGUGUUGCCAAUGAUAAUAUUUGAGCUUUUAAGCAAAACUUAGACAUUUAGGAAACUUUUAUUCACCACCAUGAGCCUGACAACUUUUCAAUAUUUAAAGGUUUUCCUGAUGAGAUCAGUGGUGAUAUUAUUAACAGAUAUAUUUUUAAAAUACUGUAGAGUGAAAUGUAAUAACUCAGCAUAUCAGUAUUUUCCUAAAGACCAAUGCAUGAUGUUACAAAAUCAGUCAUAAAAGAUUAAUUAAAAUUUGUAAGAUAGACCAAUGGGUUUCAAUGUAACAGAGUAUGAAAAGUUUAUUGAUACAGUUUCAUAUUCAACAUUGUAACUAACUUUAAUACACCACCACUUGUUGAGUUUUGGUAUAGUAACAAAGUAAAAUAUCCCCAAUUAGCUGAAAAGGCUAUGACACUCCUCCCUUUUCCAACUAUGUAUCUUUGUGAGGCUGGCUUUUCUUCACAUACUUCAACCAAAACAGCAUAUUGCAACAGAUUAAUUUCAGAAGCCUGAUGUGAGAAUACAGCUGUCUUUCAUUACACCAGACAGUAUGAGUUCUACAAAAAUGUAAAACAACGCCAUUCGUUGCACUACUUUGUUUUUAAAAUAUGCAUAUAGUUAUUUUUUAAUAAAAUAGGUUAUUUAACAUUUAAUAGAUUUAUUAACCAAUUUAAUUUAGUUAAGUAUUUAAAAAUUUUGCUCAGUUUUAAUUUCCAAUUCAGUAAAUAUAAACAGAUAUAAUCUCUGUCCCCAUAAACAACAGCUCAUUAGGGUCCCCAUUAAUUUUUUUAAAAAAGAUUUAAUUUUUUUUAGAGCAGUUUUAGGUUCAUGACAUAGAUUUCUCAUAUACCCCUCCCCCUCCCACAUGCAUAGUAUCCCCCAUCAUUAACAUCCACCACCAAAGUGGUGAAUUUGUGUACAAUUGAUGAACCUAUAUUGACACAUCAUUAUCACCUAAAAUCCACAGCUUAUGUUAAGGUUCAUUCUUGGUGUACAUUCUAUGGGUUUGGAUAAAUGUAUGACAUAUAUUCAUCAUUACAGUAUCAUACAGAGUAUUUUCACAGCCCUAAAAAUCCUCUGUGCUCCUCCCAGUCAUCCCCCUCCCUAUCCUCAUUAAGUUUUAAAAGGGUAAAGGGAUCUCAAGGUCAAAAAAUAUAAGAUCCUCUGGAUUAAUCCAUCCUUUUCCUAGUGAUUUGUAAUCUCUGCCUAGAGCAAGUUUCCAGCUAGUCACAGGUCUCUUCCAUUGGACUUUUUGUCUCUUCCUGUGCCAAAUACCACAUUGACUUAAAUAUUACCACACUAUAACCAGUCUUGGUAAGGCUAGUUCCCCACCUUGUUCUUUCUUCUUCCAUUUGUGCUGGUUAUUCUUGGCCUUUGUUCUUCCAUAGAAAGUGGGACACACAAAUACUUUUUCCUAUUACAAAAAUAAUAUAUAUUAAUGCAAACAAUUUUUAAAAUACAGAGUUGCGAGAAAGUUAAAAUUACCCUGUUAAUAUUCUGGUGUAUAGCUUUAUAUUCUGCAUAUAUUUUAUUAUUAUUUUUUAAAAGCAAUUAAAAUUUUUUUUUCUUUUUUAAAAACAUUUAUUUUUUGGCUGCGUUGGGUUUUCGUUGCUGCAUGCUGGCUUUCUCUAGUUGCAGAGAGAUGGUGUGCGAGCUUCUCAUUGCGGCGGGUUCUCUUGUUGCAGAGCAGGGGCUCUAGGCAUGCGGACUUCAGUAGUUGUGGCACGUGGGCUCAGUAGUUGUGGCACGCAGGCUCUAGAGUGCAGGCUCAGUAGUUGUGGCGCACAGGCUUAGUCGCUCCGCAGCAUGUGGGAUCUUCCUGCACCAGGGCUCGAACCCGUGUCCCUGCAUUGGCGGGCAGAUUCUUAACCACUGCGCCACCAGGGAAGUCCCUGCAUAUAUUUUAUAUUUAUACGCACAUAUACACAUACACACAUACACUUGUAUAUAUACACAGUUUCA
Molecule: long non-coding RNA, 5799 nt
Organism: Physeter macrocephalus (sperm whale)
Lineage: Eukaryota; Metazoa; Chordata; Mammalia; Artiodactyla; Physeteridae
Exons: 4
Source: RefSeq, a predicted model, not a curated record